ACUGGAAUCAAUGAUGGCUCAGUCGGUAGAGCAUGAGACUCGUAAUCUCAGGGUCACGUUGGACAAAAGAUUCCUACAUUGCAGUG
Podarcis lilfordi (Lilford's wall lizard) is the source of this 86-nucleotide non-coding RNA. The record is from the annotation of a GenBank genome assembly. NCBI's taxonomy places the organism in Eukaryota, Metazoa, Chordata, Lepidosauria, Squamata, Lacertidae.